Molecule: ribosomal RNA, 838 nt
Filed under: uncultured bacterium
Lineage: Bacteria
Description: bacterial SSU rRNA
Rfam family: Bacterial small subunit ribosomal RNA
Source: RNAcentral
CGAGGCAGGCGGAAUUNNUGGUGUAGCGGUGAAAUGCUUAGAUAUCACGAAGAACCCCGAUUGCGAAGGCAGCCUGCCAGGCCUGGACUGACGUUGAGGCUCGAAGGUGCGGGUAUCGAACAGGAUUAGAUACCCUGGUAGUCCGCACGGUAAACGAUGGAUACUCGCUGUCGGCGAUACACGGUCGGCGGCCAAGCGAAAGCGUUAAGUAUCCCACCUGGGGAGUACGCCGGCAACGGUGAAACUCAAAGGAAUUGACGGGGGCCCGCACAAGCGGAGGAACAUGUGGUUUAAUUCGAUGAUACGCGAGGAACCUUACCCGGGCUUGAACUGUGCCUGACUGCCUCAGAGAUGGGGCUUCCAGCAAUGGCAGGCAUGGAGGUGCUGCAUGGUUGUCGUCAGCUCGUGCCGUGAGGUGUCGGCUUAAGUGCCAUAACGAGCGCAACCCCUCCCGCCAGUUGCCAUCAGGUAAAGCUGGGCACUCUGGGGGCACUGCCACCGCAAGGUGUGAGGAAGGUGGGGAUGACGUCAAAUCAGCACGGCCCUUACGUCCGGGGCUACACACGUGUUACAAUGGGAGGUCACGGAGGGCUGCUACCCGGCGACGGGACGCCAAUCCCCAAACCCUCCCUCAGUACGGACUGGAGUCUGCAACCCGACUCCACGAAGCUGGAUUCGCUAGUAAUCGCGCAUCAGCCAUGGCGCGGUGAAUACGUUCCCGGGCCUUGUACACACCGCCCGUCAAGCCAUGGGAGCCGGGGGUACCUGAAGUCCGUUACCGCGAGGAUCGGCCUAGGGUAAAACUGGUGACUGGGGCUAAGUCGUAACAAGGUAACCA